RNAcentral lists this ribosomal RNA (460 nucleotides) under uncultured bacterium. RNAcentral's name for it is "partial 16S ribosomal RNA". It matches the Rfam family "Bacterial small subunit ribosomal RNA", at positions 338 to 795 of the family's 1533-position model. The record is from RNAcentral.
CCUACGGGAGGCAGCAGUGAGGAAUAUUGGUCAAUGGCCGGAAGGCUGAACCAGCCAUGCCGCGUGAAGGUCAGUGCCCUUUGGGCGUUAAACUUCUUUUGUGCGGGAGCAAUAAUGGUCACGUGUGGCCAGACGAGAGUACCGUACGAAUAAGGAUCGGCUAACUCCGGUCCAGCAGCCGCGGUAAUAAGGGAGAAGCAAGCGUUAUCCGGAUUUAUUGGGUUUAAAGGGUGCGGAGGCUGGUAGGUAAGUUAGCGGUGAAAUGCCCCCGGGCAACGGGGGGAAGUGCCAUUGAUACUGCCUGGCUGGAAGGCGGAUGCCGUAGGAGGAAUGUGUGGUGUAGCGGUGAAAUGCAUAGAGAUCACACAGAACACCGAUUGCGUAGGCAUCUCACGAAGCCGCGAUUGACGCUGAGGCACGAAAGCGUGGGUAUCAAACAGGAUUAGAUACCCCAGUAGUC